This 937-nucleotide ribosomal RNA is filed under the name Desulfobacteraceae bacterium enrichment culture clone B31172. Its description in RNAcentral is "bacterial SSU rRNA". It matches the Rfam family "Bacterial small subunit ribosomal RNA", at positions 8 to 916 of the family's 1533-position model. The record is from RNAcentral. Lineage: Bacteria; Pseudomonadati; Thermodesulfobacteriota; Desulfobacteria; Desulfobacterales; Desulfobacteraceae.
AGAGUUUGAUCAUGGCUCAGAAUGAACGCUGGCGGCGUGCUUAACACAUGCAAGUCGCACGAGAAUUCUUCUGCUUGCAGAAGAUAGUAAAGUGGCGCACGGGUGAGUAAUGCGUGGGCAAUCUUCCCUUGAAUCGGGGAUAACAUCGCGAAAGCUUUGCUAAUACCGGAUGACAUCCAUUUGUCUGCGGGCGAAUGGAUCAAAGGUGGCCUCUACAUGUAAGCUACUGUUUGAGGAUGAGCCUGCGUACCAUUAGCUAGUUGGUGGGGUAACGGCCCACCAAGGCGACGAUGGUUAGCUGGUCUGAGAGGAUGAUCAGCCACACUGGAACUGACACACGGUCCAGACUCCUACGGGAGGCAGCAGUGAGGAAUUUUGCGCAAUGGGGGAAACCCUGACGCAGCAACGCCGCGUGAGUGAUGAAGGCCUUCGGGUCGUAAAGCUCUGUCAAGUGGGAAGAACCUGCAGAAAGCUAACAUCUUUUUGCACUGACGGUACCACUGAAGGAAGCACCGGCCAACUCCGUGCCAGCAGCCGCGGUAAUACGGAGGGUGCAAGCGUUAUUCGGAAUUAUUGGGCGUAAAGGGCGCGUAGGCGGCCGUUUAAGUCAGGUGUGAAAGCCCGGGGCUUAACCCCGGAAGUGCAUUUGAUACUGAGCGGCUUGAGUAUGGGAGAGGGAAGUGGAAUUCCUGGUGUAGAGGUGAAAUUCGUAGAUAUUAGGAGGAACACCGGUGGCGAAGGCGACUUCCUGGACCAAUACUGACGCUGAGGCGCGAAGGCGUGGGGAUCAAACAGGAUUAGAUACCCUGGUAGUCCACGCAGUAAACGGUGAUCACUAGGUGUAGCGGGUAUUGACCCCUGCUGUGCCGCAGCUAACGCAUUAAGUGAUCCGCCUGGGGAGUACGAUCGCAAGGUUAAAACUCAAAUGAAUUGACGG